This 271-nucleotide ribosomal RNA is filed under the name uncultured prokaryote. RNAcentral describes it as "partial 16S ribosomal RNA". It matches the Rfam family "Bacterial small subunit ribosomal RNA", at positions 524 to 794 of the family's 1533-position model. The record is from RNAcentral.
UACGUAGGGGGCGAGCGUUGUCCGGAAUUAUUGGGCGUAAAGGGCGCGCAGGCGGUGACUUAAGUCUGAUGUGAAAGCCCACGGCUCAACCGUGGAAGGUCAUUGGAAACUGGGUCACUUGAAUACAGAAGAGGAAAGUGGAAUUCCAUGUGUAGCGGUGAAAUGCGUAGAUAUAUGGAGGAACACCAGUGGCGAAGGCGACUUUCUGGUCUGUUAUUGACGCUGAGGCUCGAAAGCAUGGGUAGCAAACAGGAUUAGAUACCCCGGUAGU